AGAACCUGGUGCAGAGGCAUGUAGGGGAGAAGCAAGCAUUCAGGAAAGAAGCAUGCAGAGAGCAAACACUGAAGGGAGCAGCACUUGGAAGCAGAGAAGAAGCAUCGAUCUAUUUGGGAAGGUUUUCCGCAGUACUUGAAAAACAGGAAAUUGGCAUCGAGACACAGCAAAAAUCAAAGUGAGCGUGGAAAAUCCCUCCUCUUUGGCCUCACAAUGCAGAAAAGGAAAAUGCUAGCGGCUUGGUGUGACACUGGGGACACACGACAAAGAGCGGCAGGAGCUAAGCUUAGCUAGGCCUUUCAGCAAGAAUAAGAGAACGAUCGAAAUAAUGGCAGCUUACGGCUGUACCUAAGACAUCGGACAAGAAAUCAGAUCAAAUUGGGGUGAAGCGUUGGAGCAGCUGCCCCAGAUGUUUGAGGCCUCACCCCUUAAUGAUGCUCCCGGAGACCAGAAGGGGGAUACUGCCCGGUUUCAACAAUGUGAACAUGUGACAAAGCAAACUCUAGACCACAUUAAGAAUGGCGAACUAACUUAAGGACGGACUGUUCUUUUCACCAAUUGGCAGGCUUCGGACCCAGACCUCGAGAAGGUGGCCCAACCUGGGUCUUCCUUUCCGAUUCCUGCAUAGAGACCCCAGCCGUGAUCAUAGGAGAGUAGGUGUUGGCUUCUUGGAAGGAGAGUUCCGACUCUAUCGUAGGAGUGGCUUGCAUCCUUGCAAUUUGUCUUCACUCCCUCUAGCAAUGAAGGAAUCUAGCGCGUGCAGAUUUCCUUCUCUGCCAGCUUAAUAUCACAGACCAGUUUGUUCCUAAGUUUCUUCAUCGUGGAGAUCAGUUUAAAUAUACAAGAAUUGUUCGGUCCUUCCUUGCUGCCCCAGCGAUGGUAUGCCCCUCCCCCCUCCCCCCCCGCAACGAGCACAUUCCAUCCCAUCGCAAGGUCCCAUGUGGAUUCAUUGGGGAUUGAUUCACAGUUUGCAAUACAAAUACCCUGAUACAUCACUUACUGACUAUUAAGUAUUGGAUUAUUCUACCACUUUUCAAUGUCUUAAAACCAAGUUUUUCAUCCGCGUUGCUUGGAGCAAUCAGAGUAUGACUUUCCUUCUUCCUCCCUCCCUUCCUCUCUCCCCGUCUUUCUUUCUCUUUUGAAAGCAGAAGCGCUGAGAGGACGCAGGAUUUUAUGCCCUCUUGGCGUGCAGCAUUUCGAUGAGCAGAUUAUUACAGGGCACAUCCCCGUUCAGGUGUUUGUAGUAGAGGUAUUCUUCGGCCUGCAUGCUGAUGGCCCGGAUCUCUGGGAGCCGAAGGAGCAACUGCCCAAACUUGUCUGUCUGCUGGGGGUAGUUGCACAUUAUGUAAUCCAGCAAAGCAGCAUUCACUUGCUCCUGCACCCCUUCCACCAGCUGGAAGUUCUCAAGGUUUUUGACAUCUGGAUGUAAAACAACAAAAACAACAACAAAGAGAAUGAAAAAAACCCAACAUUUCAGUGGCAUUUUAAAUCCUGUUUACAACCACGGCAUGCUCGCUUAAUGGCUGAGUUUUCCCUCCCACCGGAAGCACCCUUGGCAGGUUGCUGAACAUUCAGGAACCCCCCUCAUCAAGUUUCCUGGGAAAAUGAUCACAAAAGAGCUCUUAGCUGAGCGUCUGGUUGAAAUUUUGCAUACACUUCAAAUCAAUUAGACGCCGAUGGAUUUUGACCAAGGUCAACUCUUUUUGUAUCGUACCGAAGGAAAGGUUGAGGAUUCUGAAAGUAGAAGACCAUAAUAUAUUGCCAGCAAAUGAGUCCCCAGAGAAAGACAUAUCUUAACCCAGUAUAUUACACAAUUCAUAUAAUUCUGUAUUAAUUUUUCUGACCCAAGGUGAAAUCUGUGUCCAGGGUAUGAUGUAGUUAAUUCUAAUAAAAAGUGACAGGGUUCUUGUUUCUGUUUGACAUUUUCUAAAUGAUUCUGAAAGCCUUUGACUUGUCUGGCCUAUGCUAAUGAACCAUCUGGUACACUCCAGUGGCUGCCAAAAUAAUCUUUGCUACUAGCAACUCUCUAAAAUAUAUAUCUCAGUGACUAAUGAUCUUUAGAAAAUGAAAGCCUUGUCCGUUAGGCAAAAAUACAAGACAGCGUACUGCCCUUUAACCUGACUGUAGAUCUGAAUUCUGACACUUUGAUUUCUUGUUCCUUGGGUUCAACUCUGUCAUAUUUGAAUGGUGGUUCUGGGUGGUUCACUAGGCUACAACUGGUGACAGUCGAUAUUUCUGCGAUUUCUUUAGCAUCAAAAUAAAAGGGAUAAGAACACAACCCAUCUCUCCCAUGAAAA
Molecule: long non-coding RNA, 2297 nt
Organism: Ornithorhynchus anatinus (platypus)
Lineage: Eukaryota; Metazoa; Chordata; Mammalia; Monotremata; Ornithorhynchidae
Exons: 4
Source: RefSeq, a predicted model, not a curated record